RNAcentral lists this long non-coding RNA (1612 nucleotides) under Homo sapiens (human). Its description in RNAcentral is "HSALNT0349740". The record is from RNAcentral. Lineage: Eukaryota; Metazoa; Chordata; Mammalia; Primates; Hominidae.
GACUUAGGAUUUGAGCAUCUUUCUGUUAUGCUGUUGCCCCACUCCUAUUGCAAUACUCCCCUUCUUAAGAAAGUUUUUCUAGACUAAUGUCUAGAUUAAACUUCUUUUCUUUGACAAUAAUGAUGCCAUGACUUGGACAAAAUGCCCAUUGCCUCUGGGUCCUGCUUUCUUCACCCAGUGCUGCCUUAUUGGACUCCUUGUGCCUCUCCUUGGCUGGGGAAAUCAGAAUACACAGUGGUAUCCCACUUCUAAGAUGCCUGAUCUGAAGGACAGUAAAACAACUGACCUUUGCCAGCAUGUAAAACACAUGGUUUAACUAGUCCUCCAGGAACAACACUGAGCAAUCCUGACCUGGGACUACUUUACUCGGCCAUCUCCUACUUGAGAUGCUCCUUGUCUCUCUGUUCAAGGACACCUUUUCUGAGCCUUUCUUGAACAAGAGUGGAGGACCGAUAGGGCGAUUAAACUGUCCUUGACACAACUUUAGAGCUUCAACUGAGAAUCUAGAAGAGAGUAGAUGGAAAAAUAUUUUUCCCUCCCCUCCAAAUGCAAGGAUAAUCUUACACGAGUCCAGGAGGAAGGCUCAUUCCACACUAAGUGUUCUGAAUCAAAAAGAUGAACAAAAUACAGUGCCAUUCUUCAAGGACUUCACAGUCUACAGGAAAGGGAUAUAGUUAAACAAAUAACUGCAGAAUUGGAAAUUGGAGCUGAUGUGCUUAGAAGUGUUUUGAACAAGGGGCAUGACUGUGACUCUCUCUGCUUUUGCAAGCUUCAGGAAAACCUUUACUCACAGAACAAAUCCAACAGCUGUGAUUCUGGCUUUUCCUCCAAGUAAAGGCUUAUCUUCUUCUUCCCAAGCUAAAUGCAUCCGCAGAGCCCUCCAGCUCAACAUCAUUAUUUGUAUGGAACUUUUAUAUAAUUCCUCCUUAAAAACACAAAUAUUCUCAUUUGUGCCUCAAAAUUGUGAAGGUUAUUAUUAUCCCUCAUCCAACCUCAUUUUGCAGAUGAAGAAAUCAAACCCCAGAGAAACUGAGUAGCCUGCUGUUUACAAAGUGAUGGAAUCAUGACUCGUGUCCACGUCAUUCUGCUUGCAAAUCCAGUGUCCUGCUGGACUCUGCUCUCACAUUUUAGUUGGGAGAGGCCUGGGAGAACUGUUUUUGCCUUUAGGCAGACACACAGAUCCUGAGGUGGCCCAGCCUGAUGAAAGCAAAUAUUAAGAAAAUGGAAAUGGUUAGACUCAAUGAUUAUUGUCAUUUUCACUUUACAGUUGAAAAUACAGAGCCUCAGGGUGAAGCCCUAACUUCCCACAGCAGAUGGGGUCUAUGAGGAGGAAGAAGUAGACGCAUGGACCAGUCCUGUUAUGAAGACAAGUUUCAUGGUGCUACUCUGUCUCCAUGAGCUCCUAUGGCCCAGAAGCUGGCAUCCUGUGAGUGGAAAACCACCACUCCACAUAUCCUUGGACACUGAAGCAACCCAUCUGCAAUCAUUGGACUAGGUAUUAGCACAAUCAAAAUAGACAUUUCCUUCCUGAAUAAACCUGAUUAAUGGCUUAAUCUUUUUACAGUAUCAUUCUUGGAAAACUCAAAGGAGGUGAUUCUGUAUUAGGCUGGCA